Molecule: ribosomal RNA, 87 nt
Filed under: Corynebacterium striatum
Lineage: Bacteria; Bacillati; Actinomycetota; Actinomycetes; Mycobacteriales; Corynebacteriaceae
Source: RNAcentral
GGACCCAUUCCGAACCCGGAAGCUAAGCCUGCCCGCGCUGAUGGUACUGCAACCGGGAGGUUGUGGGAGAGUAAGUUACCGCCGACA